AUUGAACGCUGGCGGCAGGCUUAACACAUGCAAGUCGAGCGGGGUGAGGUGCUUCGGUACUGAUCCUAGCGGCGGACGGGUGAGUAAUGCUUAGGAAUCUGCCAUUUAGUGGGGGACAACAUUCCGAAAGGGAUGCUAAUACCGCAUACGUCCUACGGGAGAAAGCAGGGGAUCUUCGGACCUUGCGCUAAAUGAUGAGCCUAAGUCGGAUUAGCUAGUUGGUGGGGUAAAGGCCUACCAAGGCGACGAUCUGUAGCGGGUCUGAGAGGAUGAUCCGCCACACUGGGACUGAGACACGGCCCAGACUCCUACGGGAGGCAGCAGUGGGGAAUAUUGGACAAUGGGCGGAAGCCUGAUCCAGCCAUGCCGCGUGUGUGAAGAAGGCCUUUUGGUUGUAAAGCACUUUAAGCGAGGAGGAGGCUACCUGGAUUAAUACUCUAGGAUAGUGGACGUUACUCGCAGAAUAAGCACCGGCUAACUCUGUGCCAGCAGCCGCCGUAA
This 501-nucleotide ribosomal RNA is filed under the name uncultured bacterium. RNAcentral describes it as "partial 16S ribosomal RNA". It matches the Rfam family "Bacterial small subunit ribosomal RNA", at positions 30 to 523 of the family's 1533-position model. The record is from RNAcentral.